GGGCAUGGUGGUGGGUGCCUGUAAUCCCAGCUACUUGGGGAGGCUGAGGCAGGAGAAUCGCUUGAACCCAGGAAGCAGCGAUUGCAAUGAGAUGAGAUCACAUCCCUGCACUCCAGUCUGGGUGACAGAGCAAGAAUCCAUCUCAAAAAAAAAAAAAAAAAAA
Long non-coding RNA from Sapajus apella (tufted capuchin), 163 nucleotides. RefSeq lists it as uncharacterized. The transcript has 2 exons. The record is from RefSeq and is a predicted model, not a curated record. NCBI's taxonomy places the organism in Eukaryota, Metazoa, Chordata, Mammalia, Primates, Cebidae.